RNAcentral lists this microRNA precursor (122 nucleotides) under Ornithorhynchus anatinus (platypus). Its description in RNAcentral is "microRNA oan-mir-206 precursor". Its record names the gene oan-mir-206. The stretch from base 26 to 101 matches the Rfam family "mir-1 microRNA precursor family". Rfam says of the family: This family represents the microRNA (miRNA) mir-1 family. miRNAs are transcribed as ~70nt precursors (modelled here) and subsequently processed by the Dicer enzyme to give a ~22nt product. Lineage: Eukaryota; Metazoa; Chordata; Mammalia; Monotremata; Ornithorhynchidae. The record is from miRBase by way of RNAcentral.
AGGAGGCCGCCCCGGCCAACUGCUCUCCGAGACAACAUGCUUCUUUAUAUCCCCAUAUGGAUUACGCUGCUAUGGAAUGUAAGGAAGUGUGUGGUUUCGGGCCAGAGCCCUCCCGGCCGCCU